UUACGAUCAUAUCAUGUUAAAACACUAGUUCCCAUACAAUCACCAAAGUUAAGCAACAUCGAGUCUGGUCAGUACCUAGAUGGGUGACCACUUGGGUAUACCAUGGGCUGUAAG
Acanthosepion pharaonis is the source of this 114-nucleotide non-coding RNA. The record is from the annotation of a GenBank genome assembly. NCBI's taxonomy places the organism in Eukaryota, Metazoa, Mollusca, Cephalopoda, Sepiida, Sepiidae.